CUUGGGCUGAGCCAACCAGAAUUCGUGAUUCCUUUGCCUCCCAGGGCCGGUGGUGUGCAGACAGGGCCGGGGCUGGUGGGGUUUGGGAGGGGUCAGAGAUUGAGGCGCUGGUCGCUGUGCCCCGUUCUGGCCUGGAGCAAGAUGUAUUGCAGGCGGGAGUGAUGAAUUCCGCUUUUAAGGUCCCCAGAAGUUGAGAAGCUCUGGAUUGGAGUGCAUCUGAUAGAAGUUGUCACAAAAAAAAUAGUUCUUUCUCCUGUGGAGCACAACAGUCUGAUGCCGGAAGAAAACGAAGAAGUAGAUAAGUCAAAAUAAACAGGCCUUCAUCAAGAGCCGCUAAGGUAUUUCUCUUCUCCGUCACUGACGUGCGAUACCGCAACUAUUACACCCGACAAACUGCAAAACGCAGAAUCUAGGAUUCUUGAAGCUACUGUCAGGUACUCCUCUAAUUGUAUGUCUUUGGAUUUAAUUGAAGUUAAACUCGUUACUGCCUUUACCAACCACACUCGGCUGUAAAGUGAUAUAUUUUAGCUUCAGAAUAUUCCAUGCUUUCUACCCCACCUCCCUACACUCAUAAAUAAACCUACACGUAAGCAUGCAAUCUCUCAAAGUUUUUUCUACCAAACGGAGCCAAAAAAUCCCUAGGCUGGAAAAAUAUAUAUUAUGUAUGAUCAAGUAUUUAUCACAAAUAAAGGAAUUUAUCCUAAAACUCUAAAA
Molecule: long non-coding RNA, 714 nt
Organism: Equus caballus (horse)
Lineage: Eukaryota; Metazoa; Chordata; Mammalia; Perissodactyla; Equidae
Source: RefSeq, a predicted model, not a curated record